This is a non-coding RNA of Phoenix dactylifera (date palm), 1924 nucleotides long. The record is from RefSeq and is a predicted model, not a curated record. Lineage: Eukaryota; Viridiplantae; Streptophyta; Magnoliopsida; Arecales; Arecaceae.
CAUGUGUCCUCCCCUCAAUCAUGCACUCCACCACCAGGUCCACCAGUACCAGUAGAGAGAGAGAGAGAGAGAGAGAGAGAGAGAGAGAGAGAGUCAUGUAAACUAAAAAGUGAAGCGAAGGAGCCAAGAGAGGGGCUGCGAAACGAAGCGAAGCGCAGUCCACGCGACCGAUCCCUCGAUCACCGACCCCCUCGACUCCUUUAUGGUCUCCGUGGACGCCAAGCCGGCCGACGGUGGAGGCGGCGGAGGAACGGCAGUGCUCUUCUUCUCCGACCCUCACCACCACCACCACCAGCAGCAGCCGCCCAGCGGCCCGCCCGUGGCCCUCCCCGGCCUCGCCGGCGGCGGCGCCCUCGCUGUCGCUGCUCCCGCCGCCGCCGCCGCCGCGUCCUCGUCCGACGACCCCAGCAAGAAGAUUCGGAAGCCGUAUACUAUCACCAAGUCCAGGGAGAGCUGGACGGAGCCGGAGCACGACAAGUUUCUCGAGGCUCUCCAGCUUUUUGAUCGUGACUGGAAAAAGAUAGAAGCAUUUGUGGGCUCAAAGACAGUCAUCCAGAUAAGGAGCCAUGCACAGAAAUACUUUCUGAAGGUUCAAAAGAAUGGAACAAGUGAACAUGUACCACCCCCUCGACCCAAGCGGAAAGCAGCUCAACCAUAUCCACAGAAAGCGUCUAAAAAUGCUUCACUUCAAACUUCGUCUAUGCUUGAACCAAGGUAUGCUCUCACGGCAGAUACAUCUUCUAUGCUGCGGAACUCUACCACCAGUGCAACCGUGUCUUCAUGGGUCCACAGUUCUGUUCAGCCUGUUAGUGCCCCUCAUGCACCAAAAGAUGAUGUAGGGCCUACUGGAGCUGUUGUAGCAAAUAACUGCUCCUGUAGCAGCACUGAGAGCCCAUCUAUAACUUGGGCAACUUGUGAAACAACUGAUCAAGAAAACCAUGUCCGAUCCCUUUGUGUUAUGCCAGACUUUGCUGAGGUGUACAGCUUUCUUGGCAGUGUGUUUGACCCGAAUACAAGUGGUCAUUUGCAGAAACUGAAAGAGAUGGAUCCAAUUGAUGUUGAAACAGUAUUGUUGCUGAUGAAGAAUCUAUCCAUUAAUUUGACUAGCCCUGACUUUGAGCCCCAUUAACAGUUUAUUUUGGACUUCACUGGUCUCAACCUUUAAAUGAAUGCACGCAAUUGGCUGAAUUGGUGUUCACAUAUUGGUAACAUGUGCCAAGAUAAUACAGGUUGGUGCGCAUAUGAAAAAAUGUACAUGACGGCUGGUGUAUAAUGAGAAGGUUGCUCUCAUCAUACAGUGCUGGCACAGAGGAUGUUAAACCUGGUAGGGCUAGAGUUAGUGAAACUAUGGAUGCUUUAUUUGUGGUGAAAGGUGCAUGAAAGGCAUUCAAGCUUCUGUAGCUAUAAUUUAUUCAGUUUGCGGUGUCUCCAAGUUGUGUAAAAUACACUCAAGGCAGUGAGGAUUAACUACACCGUUAAAUGGGGAUUUUCUGCAUUUUCCGCUGUGAGCUUUCUUAGAACACCAGCCUUGAGGUCUAGAAUAAUGUUUGUAGUAAGAUCUUCUUGACAAUUGGAUAUGACAUAAUUCUUGUACAGGUCCCUGACAUCUUCUGUUUCUUAGGGUUUUGAUUUGUACAUAUCUGUUUUGUGAUCUUUGUAAAUUUCUGAGAGUUCGCGCCAGCACAGAGGAUGCUGCCAGCUGCUGAAUCCCUCCUUUAUCUAUAUUUUGUGUCCGUCCUAUGUAGAAUCCCUGAUGCAGUAUCUUCUCAAUUUUUUUAUAAACUGUAUGAUAAGGGCGAGUUGCUCUUGAAUAAUGAUGUCUUUCUGGGACAUGGAGCCCACUGCUUGCUAUAUUUUGAUGAUCCCUUGAGAUUGCACCUUUUCAGCAGAAGAGGCUGUUAAUAUAAGCUUGUGAUUUCUGGAA